UCGACGCGAAUUUAUCAUCGUAUCCUGCGUGCGUGCUGCACAAACCGGGGACAGCGCCAGCAAGGGCAUUUCCUACGAGCGGCAGGCAUCAUCACAUCGUCCCCGGCGUUAAAUUUUUAAUUAAUCCGGCUUCAGAUCAGACUAGUCCGUGCACGCCACGAAGCCGGCCCGGCCGGAGGGAGAGCAGCGAACCCUACUCUACUUGCUAGGCCUCGGGAUUCUGAGACUGUACACGUGCUGAAGCCCCGGCUUCUGUUUCUGUGCGGUGCGCUCGCCGAUGCAUGCGUCUACUGCUAGACAAGAGAAGAGCACAGCUAGCGCCACAGAUCUGCAAUGCUCUGGACUUGUAAUCUUGCGUGCUGCUAGGCUUCUGUGCACAAGCUGAGACCCAGGCGCAACGCAUGCGCGUGUACGUGGAACCAAAA
RNAcentral lists this long non-coding RNA (425 nucleotides) under Zea mays. RNAcentral describes it as "long non-coding RNA NONZMAT000714". The record is from RNAcentral. Lineage: Eukaryota; Viridiplantae; Streptophyta; Magnoliopsida; Poales; Poaceae.